RNAcentral lists this ribosomal RNA (475 nucleotides) under uncultured bacterium. RNAcentral describes it as "SSU rRNA". It matches the Rfam family "Bacterial small subunit ribosomal RNA", at positions 26 to 518 of the family's 1533-position model. The record is from RNAcentral.
AGGACGAACGCUGGCGGCGUGCUUAACACAUGCAAGUCGAGCGGAAAGGCCCUUCGGGGUACUCGAGCGGCGAACGGGUGAGUAACACGUGAGUAAUCUGCCCCUAGCUCUGGGAUAGCUCCGGGAAAACCGGGAUUAAUACCGGAUACGACCACUUUAGACAUCUGUUGUGGUGGAAAGAAUUUUGGCUAGGGAUGAGCUCGCGGCCUAUCAGCUUGUUGGUGGGGUAAUGGCCUACCAAGGCGACGACGGGUAGCCGGCCUGAGAGGGCGACCGGCCACACUGGGACUGAGACACGGCCCAGACUCCUACGGGAGGCAGCAGUGGGGAAUAUUGCGCAAUGGGCGAAAGCCUGACGCAGCGACGCCGCGUGGGGGAUGAAGGCCUUCGGGUUGUAAACCCCUUUCAGCAGGGACGAAGCGAAAGUGACGGUACCUGCAGAAGAAGCGCCGGCUAACUACGCGCCAGCAGCCGC